CAAAACAAAUCAUUAAAGUUCCUUUGAUGGAUUCUUAUUGAUUCAGUCUCCGUUAUAAACUGCGGCAAUUCUGAUAGUCAUUUCGAUUUUAAAACCUAUUCUUGAAUCAUUUGGUGCUCUCGAUCAUUCCUGCGUUUUCGGCGUAAUGAGCUGUCUGAGCUUCCUUCACUGUGCGUCGGUUAAAACCAUUGGAGAAAGGAAGAACUGAACAUUUAGCGCGAUAAGGGCUACUAUGACACCUAACAGGCAAGUGGGAAGUUUAUUUCUGGUUCUUGGAUUAGGUAAAGCAAGGUCCAAACAUGCCAGCGAAUACCAAAAAGCUAAGCGCCUACCGGUCUGAAUUGAAGCGAAAAAAAAUGUACUGUCGUUUGACUUAUACAAUUUUGGAGCGAAACAAACGGGAAAUUGAGGCGGCGUCAGACGUCGAGAAAUAUUUCUAUGGAUUGUGUACCCUUUAAAUAACCAACGGGGUUUCGUUGCAUCCCAAAUGCUGGCAAAAAUCAAAAUGCGACGAUGUAAAAAGGCUGUGAAGACUCUUUUCUCCGACACGGUACUAGGGUAACCGUACUCUUAGUGGAGGUAGCACCAAUAGUGGAGGUAGUGGGGUUUUAAUGAGAUUUAUCAUAUUUAUAUAGUUAACGAUGGUUUCAGUUGAUGCGUCGUGCU
Long non-coding RNA from Armigeres subalbatus, 666 nucleotides. RefSeq lists it as uncharacterized. NCBI's taxonomy places the organism in Eukaryota, Metazoa, Arthropoda, Insecta, Diptera, Culicidae. The record is from RefSeq and is a predicted model, not a curated record. The transcript has 3 exons.